Molecule: long non-coding RNA, 2410 nt
Organism: Lagopus leucura (white-tailed ptarmigan)
Lineage: Eukaryota; Metazoa; Chordata; Aves; Galliformes; Phasianidae
Exons: 8
Source: RefSeq, a predicted model, not a curated record
GAGAGGGAUAAAACCCGUGUCUGUGCCAGAGAGCUGUAAUCAUCACGUGAGUUCCCAGCGUGUCUCAACACUCAGAGCUGAGCCCUGGUUUGAAGAAUGAUGAGUGGACUGAACCUGCCAAAGGUGACAGAAACCAAAAGCUCAGUGUUUCUGUUUGUGACCCGUUGUGAAGUUGGGUUCUCUAAGGAAGAGACAAAAAUGAGCACACUUGCAUUGGAAUGACAGCACUUUGGUUUUGAUCCAUCAGAGGAAACUGGCAUCACAUCACAGAGCUGUGUCAUCCCCAGGUGUAGUCAGAAGACUUCAGCCUGUCAAGCCCUUUUUUUUGGCUUUGAGACUGGAACAACACUCAGGAAAAUCUAUCUGCUGCAGGAAACGUUCCUACCUGUCAGUCGUAGCCUGUCCUCACAGUCAUGCAGUGGAUUCCCAGGGUUGUGUUCAGGUCUGUGCUGUUGUGUGAAAUGGAUUAAGAGAAUGAAAGAAGCUGCCCUGACACAUCACAGAAAGCACUUUUCUUUCUAAAUCAAAGAGUUCUUCCAAUAGCAAUGGCCUUCUGGAAGCAAGAUGCUGGAAUGCUGGAUUUGUGCUGUGUGAGUGUGAUUGGGGAGCAUCCACCAACAGCAUCCCAUGUUCUUGAGUUGGAGGGCUUCACCUCUAGUGCUGGAAGGAAGCUGUCUCUCCUCCCAAAGACUGCUGCUGGAAUUGCAUUAUUCCCUGUUCCUGCCAGCCUGUCUGAUUCCCCAGCUGAAAGAUGAUGACAGUUGUGCUACUGGAAGGGAGAGCUGGAAACACGCAGAUGGAAGAUGACUUCUGGAGUGCCUGGGGUUAAAGGAGAAGAGGAAGAGCACCAAGACACCUGAGCGAGACUGUGCUGAGGAUGAAGGGUCAAUUAGUGGCUGCUGAGCAAAUCAUAGAGCUGCUGCAUCCUUGUAAUCCUAUAGACUUGGACCCUCUCUGCCAAUCCUGGCAGUGCUCUCCGGAAUAGAUGUAAGUAGAGCAGCACAGCACAAUGCAGCUCUGCUGAUCCGUGACCUGCAGCUCCUGGCAGUGCACCUGGCUGCCCGGGAACAGAUGUGAUUUCCACUGCACUUCAUGAAACAGGUGCUUGUCAAAUGAGAUGGCUGUGAACAUUGUUCAGUGCUUCCUGUGGCUAUAAAAAUACCCUUCACCAGCACUCAGGCUGGAUUGUUCCGGAAAAGCUAGGAGCAAAUCCUGUAGCUAAGCCUGCCUUUCCUUUUGUUGAGUUAUGGAAACAGUGAGGGGCAAUGGGAGGUGAGCAUGUGGCUUUAUGUAUUAUCAUCUCUGGGUAUUGGGGGUGCUAUUUUUGCUUCCUUCAGGGAAAAGUUAAAUAUUCUGAUUCAGACAUUCACGACGGAUGGCUUUUAAGGGAGAAAGUGGAAGGGUGUUGCUGACAUCUGGUCUCUGCUCCUGGCUCCUGGAGAUAUAUAGGUGUCUUCUUUGGGAAGUUUGAUGGUAGCAUGGUGGAUAAAGCUGGAGAACCCCACGGGCAGAGGAGAUAGAAGCUGCCAUGGCUUUGGUCAGCCACUGCUGCAAUAUUUCAGGGCUGCAAAGGUUUCAGGGGUCACAGCCUCUGCUACAAACAGUUGGAUGAUGUUUAGGAAGGGCAUUCACUGUCUUUGUUCUGUGCUUUGCUUAUGCAGCGUAGGGACCAGAUUGCAUGUAUGUGCCCUCAGGACCAAGCUGCAGAGCUGGGAAGGUCCAGACUCAGCAGUGUAGUGCCCUGCUGGGGAGCCCACAUCCAGCCAGAGGGCUGAAGCCAAUGCUUUCAGAUGGCUGCUGUUUUCUGUUGGGUGGUUCUCAUCUGUCCAACACGCACGUCUGGGUUUUGGCACAGGGAGUUGCUCCCAUGUCAUUGUCUGAUGGAAUUGGCCAGGUUUCAUUCAAUAGAUUGCGCUGUGCAUUGAGCUGCCAUCAGCACAGAUGCUUUGUGAAGAGGGAGCCCAUUUAACGAGCGCUUCGUUUCUCCCUCUCUGCCCACUGUGACCUUCAGAGUUGGAGCCUUUCUGGGUGCUGUGGCUCCAGUCCAAGCAGAGAAAGCCCAGCCUGCUGCUGGCACUGAGCUCCUGGGAGUCGGACUGGAACACGAGGAGAGGAUUUCCCAGUAUUUCCAGACGUGACCUUCAGAGCCAUACAAAUGCUAGUAUUAAACUCAUUACAGGCGAAGCCCUCCCGGUGACCUCGCACGGAUAACUCUCCCCCUGCUCUUUAUCUGGCUUUAUUUCCGAGACAGAUAAACGAUGCUAAUAACCCCUCUCCAGCCAAAAGGGAAAAAGAGCACGGCCCCCUCCCCUGACUCCAACAGAACCCAGCAAGGAAACCUCGAGCUGCAUCUCCACAACCGGGAGGAGCCCCGCGUUGGGGUUGGGGCCGGCGGUGAGGGAGGGCCCGC